This 898-nucleotide long non-coding RNA is filed under the name Ananas comosus (pineapple). RNAcentral's name for it is "long non-coding RNA (ACOM_LNC040805)". Lineage: Eukaryota; Viridiplantae; Streptophyta; Magnoliopsida; Poales; Bromeliaceae. The record is from RNAcentral.
UAUAUAUAUAUAUAUAUAUAUAUAUAUAUAUAGAGAGAGAGAGAGAGAGAGAGAGAGAGAGAGAGAGAGAGAGAGAGAGAGAGAGAGUUGAGCUAUGAUACUUUUACAAGUAUCACCAUCAUGGUGCUAUUAGGUUUUAAGCCAUUGGAUCUACUUUUUGAUUAUUAAUAGCCCUUGGAUUAAACACUAUUCCCCCUACCACCACCUACCACCACCUACCACUAUCAUCUCAACCUCACAUCUCUCCAUCCAAGGGCUAAAAACACACAAGUAUCACUUGGGUGAUACUUUUACAAGUAUUCUAGCCCUACUCUAUAUAUAUAUAUAUAUAUAUAUAUAUAUAUAGUAGGGUUACUAUACUCUUACGAGUAUUGGACCCUUACCCUUGGUACUCAUAAAUUGUUUUUGAUGAUGGGUUUCCGAAUCGACGAUCCACUUCAUUAAAUAUGAUCUAGAAUAUUUGAAACUUCUAAAAAAUAAAUUUCAUAAUUUUUCGAAAUCAUAAUAAAGUCCAUCAAGCGGGCAUAAAAUGAACUAUCAAAAUCGAACAACGUCCUAAAAAUAGAUGAUCGGAUCCUUCAAUUUAAGAUCGGAAUUAUUGACCUUUAUCUAGGUAGUGAAUAGAAUUUUCUAUCAAAAAUUCAACCUAUUUCAAUUCUUUUACACCGUUAAACUAGCAAGUAUCCUAUACCGGUCGUUAAAAAUUGUCAAUUUUGUGAGCUUUUAAUCGUAAGGUAAAUGAUGUCGAAAAAUUAUAAAAUUUGAUUUCUAGAAAUUUUAAAUGCUUUAGAUAAUGUUUAACGGUAUGGAUCGUCAAUUCGAAAACUCUAUCAUCGAAAACAACUUAUGUACUCAUAAGAGUAUAGUUGCCGGACUAUAUAUAUAUAUAUAUAUAUAU